RNAcentral lists this ribosomal RNA (552 nucleotides) under Odontamblyopus rubicundus. RNAcentral's name for it is "partial 16S rRNA". It matches the Rfam family "Bacterial large subunit ribosomal RNA", at positions 1853 to 2604 of the family's 2925-position model. The record is from RNAcentral. Lineage: Eukaryota; Metazoa; Chordata; Actinopteri; Gobiiformes; Gobiidae.
UCCUGCCUGCCCUGUGACCUAAAAGUUUAACGGCCGCGGUAUCCCAACCGCGCAAAGGUAGCGAAAUCACUUGUUUUUUAAAUGAAGACCAGUAUGAAUGGCUUAACGAGGGCCAAACUGUCUCCUUUUUCUAGUCAAUGAAAUUGAUCUUCCUGUGCAGAAGCAGGAAUACUCCCAUAAGACGAGAAGACCCUAUGGAGCUUCAGACAAAAACAGCCCACUUAAAAGUAUACCAAAUUAAUGAAAACAACAAAGUGUAAUCCUGUCCUUAUGUCUUUGGUUGGGGCGACCAUGGAGUAACAAAAAACCUCCACGUGGAAUAGGUACUAUCCCCUUAAAACUAGAGCCACAGCUCUCAUAAACAAAAAUUUUGACCAACAAGAUCCGGCAAAGCCGAUCAACGGACCGAGUUACCCUAGGGAUAACAGCGCAAUCCUCUUUUAGAGCCCAUAUCGACAAGAGGGUUUACGACCUCGAUGUUGGAUCAGGACCCCCUAAUGGUGCAGCCGCUAUUAAGGGUUCGUUUGUUCAACGAUUAAAGUCCUACGUGAU